CCUACGGGAGGCAGCAGUGAGGAAUAUUGGUCAAUGGACGAGAGUCUGAACCAGCCAAGUAGCGUGAAGGAUGACUGCCCUAUGGGUUGUAAACUUCUUUUAUAUGGGAAUAAAAUGUUCCACGUGUGGGAUUUUGUAUGUACCAUAUGAAUAAGGAUCGGCUAACUCCGUGCCAGCAGCCGCGGUAAUACGGAGGAUCCGAGCGUUAUCCGGAUUUAUUGGGUUUAAAGGGAGCGUAGGUGGAUUGUUAAGUCAGUAGUGAAAGUUUGCGGCUCAACCGUAAAAUUGCAGUUGAAACUGGCAGUCUUGAGGACAGUAGAGGUGAGCGGAAUUCGUGGUGUAGCGGUGAAAUGCUUAGAUAUCACGAAGAACACCGAUUGCGAAGGCAGUUCACUGGACUGCAACUGACACUGAGGCUCGAAAGUGUGGGUAUCAAACAGGAUUAGAUACCCGUGUAGUC
RNAcentral lists this ribosomal RNA (460 nucleotides) under uncultured bacterium. Its description in RNAcentral is "partial 16S ribosomal RNA". It matches the Rfam family "Bacterial small subunit ribosomal RNA", at positions 338 to 795 of the family's 1533-position model. The record is from RNAcentral.